CGUGUGUGAAGAAGGCCCUCGGGUUGUAAAGCACUUUCAGCGAGGAAGAACGCCUAGCGGUUAAUACCCGCUAGGAAAGACAUCACUCGCAGAAGAAGCACCGGCUAACUCCGUGCCAGCAGCCGCGGUAAUACGGAGGGUGCAAGCGUUAAUCGGAAUUACUGGGCGUAAAGCGCGCGUAGGUGGCUUGAUAAGCCGGUUGUGAAAGCCCCGGGCUCAACCUGGGAACGGCAUCCGGAACUGUCAAGCUAGAGUGCAGGAGAGGAAGGUAGAAUUCCCGGUGUAGCGGUGAAAUGCGUAGAGAUCGGGAGGAAUACCAGUGGCGAAGGCGGCCUUCUGGACUGACACUGACACUGAGGUGCGAAAGCGUGGGUAGCAAACAGGAUUAGAUACCCUGGUAGUCCACGCCGUAAACGAUGUCGACCAGCCGUUGGGUGCCUAGCGCACUUUGUGGCGAAGUUAACGCGAUAAGUCGACCGCCUGGGGAGUACGGCCGCAAGGUUAAAACUCAAAUGAAUUGACGGGGGCCCGCACAAGCGGUGGAGCAUGUGGUUUAAUUCGAUGCAACGCGAAGAACCUUACCUACUCUUGACAUCCUGCGAAUUUGGUAGAGAUACCUUAGUGCCUUCGGGAACGCAGAGACAGGUGCUGCAUGGCUGUCGUCAGCUCGU
Molecule: ribosomal RNA, 671 nt
Filed under: Halomonas sp. SDDC20
Lineage: Bacteria; Pseudomonadati; Pseudomonadota; Gammaproteobacteria; Oceanospirillales; Halomonadaceae
Description: bacterial SSU rRNA
Rfam family: Bacterial small subunit ribosomal RNA
Source: RNAcentral